AGUCAUAAUCUCCUGUUAUUAUAACUAAAUCAAUUAAACCUUGAUGCACCUGGCACAAAUCAACAUUAUGCAAGGCUAUCCGCCAUAGUUAAAGAUCUAAGCGAUAAAUAGUGUGCCAGCUAUCGCGGCUAUACAUUAGCUUAAAGUUAACUUCCAUUAGCUGUUCAGAUUGUUACCUUACCAUUAAAAUCCUAAUAGUGAAAAGUAUACAUUCCAUACAACAAUACAUCUGAACUACCAAAAGUUAAACAAGAAACAAGGAUUAGAUACCCUUCUAUCCUAGACCUAAACUAAUCAAGAAGUAAUAUUAAAUAAAAACUUAAUCAGAAUGGCAGUAAGAAAUCCACCGGAGAAGGCUGUACCAUAAUCGACAAUCCUCGCUAACUACCCCCUAACCUAACAUUUUAUAUAUCGCCAUUGAAAUCUUACUUAAGGUAGAAUUAAUCUAAGAUCUAAACUCAGUCAACAGGUCAAGAUAUAAAUCAUGGUUAGGUGAGAUAUUGCCUGCAAAUAUCAACAAUUAAUUAAACUAACCAUUAUCCAACAGUUUAAAUUAGGAUCCGACUGUAACCAUGUCUACUUAUAACAUUAUGACCUGCCAAAUUCCUUAUGCACAUAUUGCCCGUCAUCCUCAUAAGGAGGCAAGUCGUAACAAAGUAGAUCUUCUGGAAGGAGGAC
This 678-nucleotide non-coding RNA is filed under the name Trichinella papuae. Lineage: Eukaryota; Metazoa; Nematoda; Enoplea; Trichinellida; Trichinellidae. The record is from RNAcentral.